RNAcentral lists this ribosomal RNA (2989 nucleotides) under Alphaproteobacteria bacterium. RNAcentral describes it as "23S ribosomal RNA". It matches the Rfam family "Bacterial large subunit ribosomal RNA". Lineage: Bacteria; Pseudomonadati; Pseudomonadota; Alphaproteobacteria. The record is from RNAcentral.
GGUCAAGCUACUAAGGGUAGACGGCGGAUGCCUAGGCGCAGAGAGGCGAUGAAGGGCGUUGCAGGCUACGAUAAUCCUCGGGGAGCCGCCAAGCAGGCUUUGAUCCGGGGGUGCCCGAAUGGGGGAACCCGGCUGGGGUCAUGCCCAGUCAUUCCGUUGCUGAACACAUAGGCUUCGGAAAGCUAACUCAGGGAAGUGAACCAUCUCAGUACCUGAAGGAAGAGAAAGCAACCGCGAUUCCGUAAGUAGCGGCGAGCGAACGCGGACGAGCCCAAACCAGUGUUGUGUAAACAUGCAGGUGUUGCAGCACUGGGGUUGUGGGACAUGUCUUGAUCCGGCUGCAUUCGGAUCGGGAAGUUACAAAGUACGCAUCUAGCGGAACGACCUGGAACGGUCGGCCAAAGGGGGUAACAGCCCCGUACGCGAAAGGUGUCGUGCCUUCCUUGACAUGUUCCCGAGUACCACGGGACACGGGAAACCCUGUGGGAAUCUGGGGGGACCACCCUCCAAGGCUAAAUACUCCUCUGCGACCGAUAGUGAACCAGUACCGUGAGGGAAAGGUGAAAAGUACCCCUGUUAGGGGAGUGAAACAGUACCUGAAACCGUCUACCUACAAGCAGUGGAAGGGCUAUGGUCUUCGGACAAUGCCUGACCGCGUGCCUUUUGCAUAAUGAGCCGGCUAGUUACUCUCAGUGGCAAGGUUAAGCCGAUGGCGAAGCCGCAGCGAAAGCGAGUCUUAAUAGGGCGACGAGUCGCUGGGAGUAGACGCGAAGCGAAGUGAUCUAUCCUUGGCCAGGGUGAAACUCCGGUAACACGGAGUGAAGGCCCGAACCAGUGUAGGAUAAAAACUGCUUGGAUGAGCUGAGGAUAGGGGUGAAAGGCCAAUCAAACUUCGUGAUAGCUCGUUCUCCCCGAAAUAGCUUUAGGGCUAGCCUCACGUGAAUCGUGAUGGUGGUAGAGCACUGAAUGGACGCGGGCCCUCCCCAGGGUACCAACUCCAAUCAAACUCCGAAUGCCAUCAACGUAUGCGUGGGAGUCAGACUGCGGGGGAUAAGCUCCGUAGUCGAGAGGGAAACAACCCAGAUCGCCAGCUAAGGUCCCUAAAUCAUGGCUAAGUGGGCAAGGAUGUGGGGUUGCACAAACAGCCAGGAGGUUGGCUUAGAAGCAGCCACCCUUUAAAGAAAGCGUAAUAGCUCACUGGUCGAGCGACCCUGUGCCGACAAUUCACCGGGGCUUAAGCCAUGUACCGAAGCUGCGAAUUCGAAAGAAUGGUAGGGGAGCGUUCUGUAUGAGAUACGAGGUGGACCGUGAGGACCGCUGAUGGCAUACAGAAGAGACUCUGCCGGCACGAGUAGCGACAAAACGGAUGAGAACUCCGUUCGCCGAAAGCCCAAGGUUUCCUAGGCAAGGGCAAUCCUCCUAGGGUGAGUCGGCCCCUAAGGCGAGGCCGAAAGGCGUAGUCGAUGGGAAACAGGUUAAUAUUCCUGUACCACUCAAUAUCGUUGACGAUGGGGUGACGCAGAAAGGUAGACCAGCCUGCGACUGGAGGUGCAGGUUGAAGCAUGUAGGGGGAUCCGAUAGGCAAAUCCGUUGGAUCGUAACCCCGAGGUGUGAUCGCGAGUCCUCUUUUGGACGAAGUGGUUGACCCUACGCUGCCAAGAAAAACCUCUAAGGAGAUAUUGGGUGACCGUACCGUAAACGGACACACGUGGGCGAGGUGAGUAUCCAUAGGCGCUUGAGUGAACCUCUGUGAAGGAACUCGGCAAAAUUGCACCGUAACUUCGGGAGAAGGUGCGCCCUCAUGCCGUGUAUAUCUUCGCGAUAGAAGCGGAAGGGGGCCGCAGUGAAAAGGCCCAGGCGACUGUUUACUAAAAACACAGGACUCUGCAAACUUCUCAAGAGGAAGUAUAGGGUCUGACGCCUGCCCGGUGCUGGAAGGUUAAAGGGAGGGGUUAGCUUCGGCGAAGCUCUGAACUGAAGCCCCAGUAAACGGCGGCCGUAACUAUAACGGUCCUAAGGUAGCGAAAUUCCUUGUCGGGUAAGUUCCGACCUGCACGAAUGGCGCAACGAUCUGGGCACUGUCUCCACAGGGGGCUCAGCGAAACUGUAGUACCGGUGAAGAUGCCGGUUACCCGCGGUAAGACGGAAAGACCCUGUGAACCUUUACUACAGCUUGGCACUGGCUCUUGGUGCUGUAUGUGCAGGAUAGGUGGGAGGCUUUGAAGCCGGAGCGUCAGUUUCGGUGGAGCCACCGGUGAGAUACCACCCUUACUGCAUUGAGAGUCUAACCCAGGCCCGUUAUCCGGGUCGGGGACAGUGUCUGGUGGGUAGUUUGACUGGGGCGGUCGCCUCCCAAAAUGUAACGGAGGCGCGCAAUGGUACCCUCAGGCUGAUUGGAAACCAGCCGCAGAGCGCAAAGGUAAAAGGGUGCUUGACUGCGAGACCUACAAGUCGAGCAGGUACGAAAGUAGGCCUUAGUGAUCCGGCGGUUCCGAGUGGAAGGGCCGUCGCUCAACGGAUAAAAGGUACUCCGGGGAUAACAGGCUUAUCCUGCCCAAGAGUUCACAUCGACGGCAGGGUUUGGCACCUCGAUGUCGGCUCAUCGCAUCCUGGGGCUGGAGCAGGUCCCAAGGGUUCGGCUGUUCGCCGAUUAAAGCGGUACGUGAGCUGGGUUUAGAACGUCGCGAGACAGUUCGGUCCCUAUCUACCGUGGGCGGAGGAGACUUGAGGAGAUCUGUCCCUAGUACGAGAGGACCGGGAUGGACGAACCUCUGGUGCACCAGUUGUCACGCCAGUGGCACAGCUGGGUAGCUAUGUUCGGAAAGGAUAACCGCUGAAAGCAUCUAAGCGGGAAGCCCACUCCAAGAUGAGGUCUCCCGGACGCAAGUCCCUGAAGACCCCAGGUAGACCACCUGGUUGAUAGGCGGGAUGUGGAAGCGUGGCAACACGUGGAGCUAACCCGUACUAAUCGGUCGUGCGGCUUGACCAC